RNAcentral lists this ribosomal RNA (456 nucleotides) under uncultured bacterium. RNAcentral's name for it is "bacterial SSU rRNA". It matches the Rfam family "Bacterial small subunit ribosomal RNA", at positions 340 to 786 of the family's 1533-position model. The record is from RNAcentral.
UACGGAAGGAGCAGUGGGGAAUAUUGCACAAUGGGCGAAAGCCUGAUGCAGCUAUGCCGCGUGUAUGAAGAAGGCCUUAGGGUUGUAAAGUACUUUCAUCGGGGAGGAAAAAACAAAACUAAUAAUUUUAUUUCUUGACGUUACCCGAAAAAGAAGCACCGGCUAACUCCGUGCCAGCAGCCGCGGUAAUACGGAGGGUGCUAGCGUUAAUCAGAAUUACUGGGCGUAAAGAGCACGUAGGUGGUUUUUUUAAGUCAGAUGUGAAAUCCCUGGGCUUAACCUAGGAACUGCAUUUUGAAACUGAAAUACUAGAGUAUCGUAGAGGGAGGUAGAAUUCUAGGUGUAGCGGUGAAAUGCGUAGAUAUCUGGAGGAAUACCUGUGGCGAAAGCGGCCUCCUAAACGAAUACUGACACUGAGGGUGCGAAAGCGUGGGGAGCAAACAGGGAUUAGAUACC